This 497-nucleotide ribosomal RNA is filed under the name uncultured bacterium. RNAcentral describes it as "partial 16S ribosomal RNA". It matches the Rfam family "Bacterial small subunit ribosomal RNA", at positions 28 to 507 of the family's 1533-position model. The record is from RNAcentral.
GAUGAACGCUGGCGGCGUGCCUAAUACAUGCCAGUCGAGCGAACGGACGAGAAUCUUGCUUCGCUGAUGUUAGCGGCGGACGGGAGAGUAACACGUGUAUAACCUACCUAUAAGACUGGGAUAACUUCGGGAAACCGGAGCUAAUACCGUAUAAUAUUUUGAACCGCAUGGUUCAAAAGUAAAAGACGGUCUUGCUGUCACUUAUAGAUGGAUCCGCGCUGCAUUAGCUAGUUGGUAAGGUAACGGCUUACCAAGGCAACGAUGCAUAGACGAACUGAGAGGGUGGUAGGCCACACUAGAACUGAGACACGGUCCAGACUCCUACGGGAGGCAGCAGUAGGGAAUCUUCCGCAGUGGGCGAAAGCCUGACGGAGCAACGCCGCGUGAGUGAUGAAGGUCUUCGGAUCGUAAAACUCUGUUAUUAGGGAAGAACAUAUGUGUAAGUAAAUGUGCACAUCUUGACGGUACCUAAUCAGAAAGCCACGGCUAACUACGUG